This 1043-nucleotide ribosomal RNA is filed under the name Fusarium sp. 208f. RNAcentral's name for it is "eukaryotic LSU rRNA". The stretch from base 463 to 1043 matches the Rfam family "Eukaryotic large subunit ribosomal RNA", at positions 1 to 593 of the family's 3401-position model. Lineage: Eukaryota; Fungi; Ascomycota; Sordariomycetes; Hypocreales; Nectriaceae. The record is from RNAcentral.
CAUUACCGAGUUUACAACUCCCAAACCCCUGUGAACAUACCACUUGUUGCCUCGGCGGAUCAGCCCGCUCCCGGUAAAACGGGACGGCCCGCCAGAGGACCCCUAAACUCUGUUUCUAUAUGUAACUUCUGAGUAAAACCAUAAAUAAAUCAAAACUUUCAACAACGGAUCUCUUGGUUCUGGCAUCGAUGAAGAACGCAGCAAAAUGCGAUAAGUAAUGUGAAUUGCAGAAUUCAGUGAAUCAUCGAAUCUUUGAACGCACAUUGCGCCCGCCAGUAUUCUGGCGGGCAUGCCUGUUCGAGCGUCAUUUCAACCCUCAAGCACAGCUUGGUGUUGGGACUCGCGUUAAUUCGCGUUCCUCAAAUUGAUUGGCGGUCACGUCGAGCUUCCAUAGCGUAGUAGUAAAACCCUCGUUACUGGUAAUCGUCGCGGCCACGCCGUUAAACCCCAACUUCUGAAUGUUGACCUCGGAUCAGGUAGGAAUACCCGCUGAACUUAAGCAUAUCAAUAAGCGGAGGAAAAGAAACCAACAGGGAUUGCCCUAGUAACGGCGAGUGAAGCGGCAACAGCUCAAAUUUGAAAUCUGGCUCUCGGGCCCGAGUUGUAAUUUGUAGAGGAUACUUUUGAUGCGGUGCCUUCCGAGUUCCCUGGAACGGGACGCCAUAGAGGGUGAGAGCCCCGUCUGGUUGGAUGCCAAAUCUCUGUAAAGUUCCUUCAACGAGUCGAGUAGUUUGGGAAUGCUGCUCUAAAUGGGAGGUAUAUGUCUUCUAAAGCUAAAUACCGGCCAGAGACCGAUAGCGCACAAGUAGAGUGAUCGAAAGAUGAAAAGCACUUUGAAAAGAGAGUUAAAAAGUACGUGAAAUUGUUGAAAGGGAAGCGUUUAUGACCAGACUUGGGCUUGGUUAAUCAUCUGGGGUUCUCCCCAGUGCACUUUUCCAGUCCAGGCCAGCAUCAGUUUUCCCCGGGGGAUAAAGGCGGCGGGAAUGUGGCUCUCUUCGGGGAGUGUUAUAGCCCACCGUGUAAUACCCUGGGGGGGACUGAGG